RNAcentral lists this ribosomal RNA (368 nucleotides) under uncultured bacterium. RNAcentral's name for it is "bacterial SSU rRNA". It matches the Rfam family "Bacterial small subunit ribosomal RNA", at positions 47 to 411 of the family's 1533-position model. The record is from RNAcentral.
CCUAACACAUGCAAGUCGAACGGUAACAGGAAGAAGCUUAGCUUCUUUGCUGACGAGUGGCGGACGGGUGAGUAAUGUCUGGGAAACUGCCUGAUGGAGGGGGAUAACUACUGGAAACGGUAGCUAAUACCGCACAACGUCGCAAGACCAAGAGGGGGACCUUCGGGCCUCUUGCCAUCGGAUGUGCCCAGAUGGGAUUAGCUAGUAGGUGGGGUAACGGCUCACCUAGGCGACGAUCCCUAGCUGGUCUGAGAGGAUGACCAGCCACACUGGAACUGAGACACGGUCCAGACUCCUACGGGAGGCAGCAGUGGGGAAUAUUGCACAAUGGGCGCAAGCCUGAUGCAGCCAUGCCGCGUGUAUGAAGA